CUGAAACGUAGUAAAUCCCAUGAGUAUUUAAAUCAGAUUAUCUAUUGAAAAACCUGGAAAAUUGAAUUAAAUUGAAUUAAACUUUAAGUAGAUACCUGGUUUAGAUAUAUUUUUGUUUUAAUUAG
RNAcentral lists this non-coding RNA (125 nucleotides) under Mucochytrium quahogii. The record is from RNAcentral. Lineage: Eukaryota; Bigyra; Thraustochytrida; Thraustochytriidae.